This 344-nucleotide unclassified non-coding RNA is filed under the name soil metagenome. RNAcentral describes it as "partial contains 5.8S ribosomal RNA, internal transcribed spacer 2, and large subunit ribosomal RNA". The stretch from base 1 to 120 matches the Rfam family "5.8S ribosomal RNA", at positions 35 to 154 of the family's 154-position model. The record is from RNAcentral.
GAUGAAGAACGUAGCGAAAUGCGAUAAGUAAUGUGAAUGGCAGAAUUCAGUGAAUCAUCGAAUCUUUGAACGCACAUUGCGCCCGCCAGUAUUCUGGCGGGCAUGCCUGUUCGAGCGUCAUUUCAACCCUCAAGCCCCCGGGCUUGGUGUUGGGGAUCGGCGUGCCCUCGCGGCGCGCCGUCCCCUAAAUCUAGUGGCGGUCUCGCUGUAGCUUCCUCUGCGUAGUAGCAACACUCGCACUGGAUCGCAGCGCGGCCACGCCGUUAAACCCCCCACUUCUGAAAGUUUGACCUCGGAUCAGGUAGGAAUACCCGCUGAACUUAAGCAUAUCAAUAAGCGGAGGA